This 497-nucleotide ribosomal RNA is filed under the name uncultured bacterium. Its description in RNAcentral is "partial 16S ribosomal RNA". It matches the Rfam family "Bacterial small subunit ribosomal RNA", at positions 28 to 507 of the family's 1533-position model. The record is from RNAcentral.
GAUGAACGCUGGCGGCGUGCCUAAUACAUGCAAGUCGAGCGAACGGACGAGAAGCUUGCUUCUCUGAUGUUAGCGGCGGACGGGUGAGUAACACGUGGAUAACCUACCUAUAAGACUGGGAUAACUUCGGGAAACCGGGGCUAAUACCGGAUAAUAUUUUGAACCGCAUGGUUCAAAAGUGAAAGACGGUCUUGCUGUCACUUAUAGAUGGAUCCGCGCUGCAUCAGCUAGUUGGUAAGGUAACGGCUUACCAAGGCAACGAUGCAUAGCCGACCUGAGAGGGUGAUCGGCCACACUGGAACUGAGACACGGUCCAGACUCCUACGGGAGGCAGCAGUAGGGAAUCUUCCGCAAUGGGCGAAAGCCUGACGGAGCAACGCCGCGUGAGUGAUGAAGGUCUUCGGAUCGUAAAACUCUGUUAUUAGGGAAGAACAUAUGUGUAAGUAACUGUGCACAUCUUGACGGUACCUAAUCAGAAAGCCACGGCUAACUACGUG